Molecule: unclassified non-coding RNA, 304 nt
Filed under: plant metagenome
Description: partial contains 5.8S ribosomal RNA, internal transcribed spacer 2, and large subunit ribosomal RNA
Rfam family: 5.8S ribosomal RNA (bases 1-105)
Source: RNAcentral
GAAAUGCGAUAAGUAGUGUGAAUUGCAGAAUUCAGUGAAUCAUCGAAUCUUUGAACGCACAUUGCGCCCCUUGGUAUUCCAUGGGGCAUGCCUGUUCGAGCGUCAUUUGUACCUUCAAGCUUUGCUUGGUGUUGGGUGUUUGUCUCGCCUCUGCGUGUAGACUCGCCUCAAAACAAUUGGCAGCCGGCGUAUUGAUUUCGGAGCGCAGUACAUCUCGCGCUUUGCACUCAUAACGACGACGUCCAAAAGUACAUUUUUACACUCUUGACCUCGGAUCAGGUAGGGAUACCCGCUGAACUUAGGC